This 87-nucleotide ribosomal RNA is filed under the name Bacillus amyloliquefaciens. Its description in RNAcentral is "partial 16S ribosomal RNA". It matches the Rfam family "Bacterial small subunit ribosomal RNA", at positions 1447 to 1533 of the family's 1533-position model. The record is from RNAcentral. Lineage: Bacteria; Bacillati; Bacillota; Bacilli; Caryophanales; Bacillaceae. RNAcentral also lists the same sequence under 2 other names.
AGCCAGCCGCCGAAGGUGGGACAGAUGAUUGGGGUGAAGUCGUAACAAGGUAGCCGUAUCGGAAGGUGCGGCUGGAUCACCUCCUUU